AUCCCUGAGGCCAAGAACUCCAGGUCAGAGAACAAGAGGCUUGCCACCACCUAGGAAGCAGCCCACCACCAUCUUAGGAGCAAGAACAAGGACAACUGAGAUGAUGUCUUGCCCUGUCAUCCAGUCUUGAAUGCAGUGGCAUGAUCAGCUCAUCAUAACCUCAUACUUCUGGGCUUAAGUGAUACUCCUGCCUCAGCCUCUCAAGUAUCCAAGACUACAGGCAGUUUGCCAUUUUUGGGGCAUGUUUUCCAUUGGUCUUCCAGUUCCAUCAGUCAUGGAGGGGUCCUUCUGACUGAAAAAAGAAAAGAGAGAAGGAAUUGUGGAUGGAAAGAGAAACAGGAAGGGAAGAGAAAAGAGAGAGCAAGAGGCAUAAUCCCAGGUGUAUUGAUUAGGUCCUACCAGAAAAUAUUUCUUCAUCCCACCAUCCAGAGUUCCACAGUAAUACAAAGCGGCAUCAUUUUCAGUAAAUAUAGCCUUGGAUAAGGCUUGGUGAAGAGGCCAGAAAAAGUUCAGAUGAGUCCAGCUCGGUUUGAAGUUCUACAAUGCAAGUGGAGACUACCAUUUCAGAAGCACUUGAGGUAAAAGCAGCACACCUAAUAGAACAAUAUUCACAUUGGCAAGCCAUAGAGAAUGACGACAAAUACAUGGAAGUAGAACCAUCCCAGCCAUCAGAACUUGAAGCAGACAGCAAGGCUGCCCACUGCCCACUGAUUUCAGCCAAGAUCAGCUGGUACUCAGCUGACUCAAAGAUGCUUGAAGUGACUGUUCUCAUUCUGUGUUUUGAGAGAGUCUAUUGCACAACAAUUGCUGAUUGGCAUAGAUCCUGAACACUUAA
Long non-coding RNA from Gorilla gorilla gorilla (western lowland gorilla), 835 nucleotides. RefSeq lists it as uncharacterized. The transcript has 7 exons. NCBI's taxonomy places the organism in Eukaryota, Metazoa, Chordata, Mammalia, Primates, Hominidae. The record is from RefSeq and is a predicted model, not a curated record.